GGUUCUGUGAUUGGAAUAAGAAGUUUUUGGAAUGAACAGUUUUCUCCAUGGAAUAGAACAAUUCUAAAACCAGUAUGCUCCUUUCAAUUUCAACCAGAUAAAAGGAAUAUUAGAGAUGGACUAGGCUGUGACUUUUUGAGUUUUGAAAUGCUGGAAUGCUGGAAGAGCACCCAAGUCCAUGAAUGCUGAGUCCAUGCCAGAGUUUACCAGCUGCAUCUGGUUUGUCAACAUAGCCCAUGAUCUAUUCCAGUAAUGAACUGACCCAACAUACAAAAUGCCAGGCCAUCCAUGUGAAGGAUCAACUUUGUUGGAUGUGUUGC
RNAcentral lists this long non-coding RNA (320 nucleotides) under Monodelphis domestica (gray short-tailed opossum). RNAcentral's name for it is "lncRNA (ENSMODG00000044670.1)". Lineage: Eukaryota; Metazoa; Chordata; Mammalia; Didelphimorphia; Didelphidae. The record is from RNAcentral.